GGCAAUAUGGCCGAGCGGUCUAAGGCGCCAGAAUCAGGUUCUCUGGGAUUUGGUAUCUGGUCCGAAAGGGCGUGGGUUCGAAUCCCACUGUUGUCA
This is a non-coding RNA of Epithele typhae, 96 nucleotides long. NCBI's taxonomy places the organism in Eukaryota, Fungi, Basidiomycota, Agaricomycetes, Polyporales, Epitheliaceae. The record is from the annotation of a RefSeq genome assembly.